This 385-nucleotide ribosomal RNA is filed under the name uncultured bacterium. Its description in RNAcentral is "bacterial SSU rRNA". It matches the Rfam family "Bacterial small subunit ribosomal RNA", at positions 30 to 415 of the family's 1533-position model. The record is from RNAcentral.
AUUGAACGCUGGCGGCAUGCCUUACACAUGCAAGUCGAACGGUAACAGGGAGCUUGCUCCGCUGACGAGUGGCGAACGGGUGAGUAAUAUAUCGGAACGUACCUUUGAGUGGGGGAUAACUAGUCGAAAGAUUAGCUAAUACCGCAUACGAUCUACGGAUGAAAGUGGGGGAUCGCAAGACCUCAUGCUCAUAGAGCGGCCGAUAUCUGAUUAGCUAGUUGGUGAGGUAAAGGCUCACCAAGGCUUCGAUCAGUAGCUGGUCUGAGAGGACGACCAGCCACACUGGGACUGAGACACGGCCCAGACUCCUACGGGAGGCAGCAGUGGGGAAUUUUGGACAAUGGGGGCAACCCUGAUCCAGCAAUGCCGCGUGAGUGAAGAAGGC